RNAcentral lists this transfer RNA (73 nucleotides) under Candidatus Mycalebacterium zealandia. RNAcentral describes it as "tRNA-Lys". It matches the Rfam family "tRNA". Rfam says of the family: Transfer RNA (tRNA) molecules are approximately 80 nucleotides in length. The record is from RNAcentral. Lineage: Bacteria; Pseudomonadati; Thermodesulfobacteriota; Candidatus Dadabacteria; Candidatus Nemesobacterales; Candidatus Mycalebacteriaceae.
GGGCCGCUAGCUCAGUUGGUAGAGCAGUUGACUCUUAAUCAAAUGGUCAGGGGUUCGAAUCCCUUGCGGCCCA